GUAGGAGGCAAGCGUUAUCCGGAUUCACUGGGCGUAAAGCGCGUGCAGGCGGCGCGGUAAGUUGGGUGUGAAAUCUCCCGGCUCAACUGGGAGAGGUCAUUCAAUACUACCGUGCUCGAGAGCAGAAGAGGAAGAUGGAAUUCCCGGUGUAGUGGUGAAAUGCGUAGAUAUCGGGAGGAACACCAGUGGCGAAGGCGAUCUUCUGGUCUGUUUCUGACGCUCAGACGCGACAGCUAGGGUAGUAAACGGGAUUAGAGACCCCGGUAAUCCUAGCCGUAAACGAUGUGAACUUGGCGUUGGUGGGUUAAACUCCAUCAGUGCCGUAGCAAACGCGAUAAGUUCACCGCCUGGGGACUACGGCCGCAAGGUUAAA
Molecule: ribosomal RNA, 373 nt
Filed under: uncultured bacterium
Lineage: Bacteria
Description: bacterial SSU rRNA
Rfam family: Bacterial small subunit ribosomal RNA
Source: RNAcentral